GGCUAUUCUUUGUAACCCCCUCUAAAAUUACUAUUUACGGUGAAGUGCCUAAGAUUCCUUUUGUCCUACUUAUAGUAUUUUCAAAUGAGUCAUUGGAGCUAACACUCAAGUUAGAAGACUAAUUCAAAAAUAUGUCUUUGCUAAUUUUAUAAUGAGCCUGGAAAAAGAUUAAUAAGGUGCUGAAUUGAGAAGCUACCAGUUUAGUGAGUACCUUAAUAGGCAACUACGGUAAUACGAGGCAUUCAGUGUGCUGUACAUGGAAGAUUUGUCUAAGUAACAACUUUGGAAGCAACUGCAAACUCUGGAAGCCUUAUUUGUUCGCAUCUUCAAAGACAAAAAUAAUGACUAUGGGAAAUACCAUAGUAUAAUACUGGUUUUCUUGAAUGGCAAUUAAUGAAACUGAAGAUCACGGUUGUCCCAUUUCAACGAAGUAGUGGUGCUGAGGUGAGGCUGUAGUGGAACCAAUAAGAGAGGAGAUAUGUGUUGGCAGUGCUGGAGUAGGCCCCGCUGAGAUGGUUGUGGGACAGAAAAAUGAAGGAAUUGCUCCCACUAAAAGACAUGAUUAGACUGUGAUCUUUAUGGAACUGCUAGAACAAGGAAACUC
Molecule: non-coding RNA, 604 nt
Organism: Thamnophis sirtalis
Lineage: Eukaryota; Metazoa; Chordata; Lepidosauria; Squamata; Natricidae
Source: RefSeq, a predicted model, not a curated record